AAGGCCUUAAGUUAAAGAAACUAAUAUCCUUCAAAGCUAUAAAUAAAGGGCUGCCUUUAGGCCUUG
This 66-nucleotide transfer RNA is filed under the name Macrotermes annandalei. RNAcentral's name for it is "tRNA-Trp". The record is from RNAcentral. Lineage: Eukaryota; Metazoa; Arthropoda; Insecta; Blattodea; Termitidae. RNAcentral also lists the same sequence under 1 other name.